RNAcentral lists this transfer RNA (68 nucleotides) under Pyxicephalus adspersus. RNAcentral's name for it is "tRNA-Val". It matches the Rfam family "tRNA". From Rfam's summary of the family: Transfer RNA (tRNA) molecules are approximately 80 nucleotides in length. The record is from RNAcentral. Lineage: Eukaryota; Metazoa; Chordata; Amphibia; Anura; Pyxicephalidae.
CAAAAUAUAGCUUAACUAAAGCCUCUCGCUUACACCGAGAAUAUAUCUGUUAGACCAGAUUAUUUUGA